Molecule: ribosomal RNA, 274 nt
Filed under: uncultured bacterium
Lineage: Bacteria
Description: partial 16S ribosomal RNA
Rfam family: Bacterial small subunit ribosomal RNA
Source: RNAcentral
AUACGAAGGGGGCUAGCGUUGUUCGGAAUUACUGGGCGUAAAGCGCGCGUAGGCGGACUGAUCAGUGGGGGGUGAAAUCCCAGGGCUUAACCCUGGAACUGCCUCCAAUACUGUCAGUGUUGAGUUCGGGAGAGGUGAGUGGAAUUCCUAGUGUAGAGGUGAAAUUCGUAGAUAUUAGGAAGAACACCAGUGGCGAAGGCGGCUCACUGGCCCGAUACUGACGCUGAGGCGCGAAAGCGUGGGGAGCAAACAGGAUUAGAAACCCUAGUAGUCC